This 81-nucleotide transfer RNA is filed under the name Felis catus (domestic cat). It matches the Rfam family "tRNA". From Rfam's summary of the family: Transfer RNA (tRNA) molecules are approximately 80 nucleotides in length. Lineage: Eukaryota; Metazoa; Chordata; Mammalia; Carnivora; Felidae. RNAcentral also lists the same sequence under 2 other names. The record is from Rfam by way of RNAcentral.
GCCUGGGUGACUCAGUUAAGUAUCUGACUUUGACUCAGGUCAUGAGCUCGUGGUUUGUGGGUUCAAGCCCCACAUUGGGCU